RNAcentral lists this non-coding RNA (125 nucleotides) under Heterosigma akashiwo. The record is from RNAcentral. Lineage: Eukaryota; Raphidophyceae; Chattonellales; Chattonellaceae.
UGGUAAUACUGAGAAAAAGGACACUUCCAUCAUCUAUCUCUAUUAAAUGGUCUCCUUUAAAACAACCAGAGAUGGGCCCUGAAGGUGCAAACCAUAAUCUUGACGCAUUUUCAGACAAGAAUGAC